This 708-nucleotide ribosomal RNA is filed under the name Escherichia coli. RNAcentral's name for it is "partial 23S ribosomal RNA". It matches the Rfam family "Bacterial large subunit ribosomal RNA", at positions 614 to 1322 of the family's 2925-position model. The record is from RNAcentral. Lineage: Bacteria; Pseudomonadati; Pseudomonadota; Gammaproteobacteria; Enterobacterales; Enterobacteriaceae.
AAUGGGUCAGCGACUUAUAUUCUGUAGCAAGGUUAACCGAAUAGGGGAGCCGAAGGGAAACCGAGUCUUAACUGGGCGUUAAGUUGCAGGGUAUAGACCCGAAACCCGGUGAUCUAGCCAUGGGCAGGUUGAAGGUUGGGUAACACUAACUGGAGGACCGAACCGACUAAUGUUGAAAAAUUAGCGGAUGACUUGUGGCUGGGGGUGAAAGGCCAAUCAAACCGGGAGAUAGCUGGUUCUCCCCGAAAGCUAUUUAGGUAGCGCCUCGUGAAUUCAUCUCCGGGGGUAGAGCACUGUUUCGGCAAGGGGGUCAUCCCGACUUACCAACCCGAUGCAAACUGCGAAUACCGGAGAAUGUUAUCACGGGAGACACACGGCGGGUGCUAACGUCCGUCGUGAAGAGGGAAACAACCCAGACCGCCAGCUAAGGUCCCAAAGUCAUGGUUAAGUGGGAAACGAUGUGGGAAGGCCCAGACAGCCAGGAUGUUGGCUUAGAAGCAGCCAUCAUUUAAAGAAAGCGUAAUAGCUCACUGGUCGAGUCGGCCUGCGCGGAAGAUGUAACGGGGCUAAACCAUGCACCGAAGCUGCGGCAGCGACACUAUGUGUUGUUGGGUAGGGGAGCGUUCUGUAAGCCUGUGAAGGUGUACUGUGAGGUAUGCUGGAGGUAUCAGAAGUGCGAAUGCUGACAUAAGUAACGAUAAAGCGGGU